UACAGAGGGGCAAGCGUUAUUCGGAAUUAUUGGCGUAAAGGGCGCGUAGGCGGCCUGACAAGUGGAAGGUGAAAUCCCUCGGCUUAACCGAGGAACUGCCCUCCAAACUGUCUGGCUUGAGACCGGGAGAGGUGGAGUGGAAUUCCCAGUGUAGCGGUGAAAUGCGUAGAUAUUGGGAGGAACACCAGUGGCGAAGGCGGCUCACUGGACCGGUACUGACGCUGAGGCACGAAAGCGUGGGGAAGCAAACAGGGAGUUAA
RNAcentral lists this ribosomal RNA (260 nucleotides) under uncultured bacterium. RNAcentral describes it as "partial 16S ribosomal RNA". It matches the Rfam family "Bacterial small subunit ribosomal RNA", at positions 524 to 785 of the family's 1533-position model. The record is from RNAcentral.